This 31-nucleotide non-coding RNA is filed under the name Homo sapiens (human). The record is from RNAcentral. Lineage: Eukaryota; Metazoa; Chordata; Mammalia; Primates; Hominidae.
UGGGUGUCUUGAAUGGUGCUGAUAUAGUCCC